AAGUUCGUGUGAGGGCGUUGUGUAAGACCCGGAGGAUAAUAUGGCCGAUCGAACUACGAAUGUUCAAAUGCUGCGCGUUGAUAGCUGCGCACUGGCAUGCAUCACUCGUCAUGUUUACACCGGACGACUGUCGUUUUUAGUAAAUGUAGCGUUGAUAAUGCUGAGAUGUAAGUUCAUGUGAUAUAGUUGCUGGUGAGGUGCAUUCGACGAAAUAAAAAAAGUCCACCGCCAUGCGGAAAGAGCGGGAAAGCCAUAGUUAAGGUGGGAACAAGGAUUAAAAUCUUAGUGGGGAGAACAACACCCAUUUACUUAUGCGAAAUAUCACUUUUUCCUAAAUGAUUAAUAACUGAUGUAUGUUGAUGAGAAAAUAUAUACAAUGACGAUACAAUCA
This is a long non-coding RNA of Bombus impatiens (common eastern bumble bee), 391 nucleotides long. RefSeq lists it as uncharacterized. The transcript has 2 exons. Lineage: Eukaryota; Metazoa; Arthropoda; Insecta; Hymenoptera; Apidae. The record is from RefSeq and is a predicted model, not a curated record.